GAAAAUAUAGAGAAAUGAAAUAUGAUAUUAGGUUUUAUUUAGUUCAUAUAUAUAUUAUAGAAAAACUUAUGUAUAAAUUCGAUUCUCGGUUUGGUUUCGGUUCGGUUUCGGUACGAUUUUGGUUCGGUUCUUAGUGAAGAACCAUGACCGAAUCAAAGUAUCAAAAUAAAUUCGAUUUGGUAUGAUUCUUCGGUUCGAUUCGGUUUAGUUCUCCCAAAAACCGUGCACGGCCCUAGUUCUAGAAUCUAGCUAUUUUCAACAGUUAAAAGCGUUGUCUUUCCUUGUAUGUUGAAAAAUUAGAGAGCCUGGAUUACCUUUUUGGGCUCUCAUGAUGUUGGAAUCUGACUUUGUUUAUUAGUUUUAUGAGCAAGAGGGGACUCAAACUAAUAAGAUAACCUUAAACUCUUAAUUGUACAAAUGUAAGGGGUCUCUGGAGGAAUUAGCGUUGCAUGAAGAGUAUGUACUUUAAAAACCAAUUUACUUUGCCCACACCAUUCAUGAUUUACCAAACUUUGAGUUGAGUUUUGAUUGCAAUUUUCUUGCUUGGUAGUGUAUCUUAAGAUUUCAUUGCUGCCUGGUAAAACCUUUGGCGAUACUACUAUUUAUUCUUAUUUAUUCUGAUUUGUAAUUGGGAAGCUACUCUAACAAAGCACUUCUGGUUUGCAGUGUGCUGAAGAAGUGAUUCGUCAA
This 690-nucleotide unclassified non-coding RNA is filed under the name Hevea brasiliensis (rubber tree). Lineage: Eukaryota; Viridiplantae; Streptophyta; Magnoliopsida; Malpighiales; Euphorbiaceae. The record is from RNAcentral.